Molecule: unclassified non-coding RNA, 254 nt
Filed under: Hevea brasiliensis (rubber tree)
Lineage: Eukaryota; Viridiplantae; Streptophyta; Magnoliopsida; Malpighiales; Euphorbiaceae
Source: RNAcentral
UACCCCUAAACGCUCCAGUGCAACAGUCAAAUAAUAAAGCAACAGCACAGAAUUCCCGAAGGCCAACACAAGCUUCCCUUGAAAGCUUUUUCGAGUCCCAAAUACUCCACAAUUUGAUGAACUGUAGAGUACCCAGAAACUGCUUCCUCUUCAGACCAAUUUAGCUAAUAAAAGUUCCUUCCAAUCGCACAUCAAUCACCAAAUACAGAUACGUAUUUGAACAUCAAGAUGAUAAUUUCUUUACCAAAACAACA